UACGGAGGAUGCAAGCGUUAUCCGGAAUGAUUGGGCGUAAAGGGUCCGCAGGUGGCUGUGUAAGUCUGCUGUUAAAGAGUCUAGCUCAACUAGAUAAGAGCAGUGGAAACUACAUAGCUAGAGUACGUUCGGGGCAGAGGGAAUUCCUGGUGUAGCGGUGAAAUGCGUAGAGAUCAGGAAGAACACCAGUGGCGAAGGCGCUCUGCUAGGCCGUAACUGACACUGAGGGACGAAAGCUAGGGGAGCGAAUGGG
This 253-nucleotide ribosomal RNA is filed under the name uncultured bacterium. Its description in RNAcentral is "partial 16S ribosomal RNA". It matches the Rfam family "Bacterial small subunit ribosomal RNA", at positions 524 to 776 of the family's 1533-position model. The record is from RNAcentral.